GCACAAGCGGUGGAGCAUGUGGUUUAAUUCGAAGCAACGCGAAGAACCUUACCAAAUCUUGACAUCCUUUGACAACUCUAGAGAUAGAGCCUUCCCCUUCGGGGGACAAAGUGACAGGUGGUGCAUGGUUGUCGUCAGCUCGUGUCGUGAGAUGUUGGGUUAAGUCCCGCAACGAGCGCAACCCUUAAGCUUAGUUGCCAGCAUUAAGUUGGGCACUCUAGGUUGACUGCCGGUGACAAACCGGAGGAAGGUGGGGAUGACGUCAAAUCAUCAUGCCCCUUAUGAUUUGGGCUACACACGUGCUACAAUGGACGGUACAAAGGGCAGCGAACCCGCGAGGUCAAGCAAAUCCCAUAAAGCCGUUCUCAGUUCGGAUUGUAGUCUGCAACUCGACUACAUGAAGCUGGAAUCGCUAGUAAUCGUAGAUCAGCAUGCUACGGUGAAUACGUUCCCGGGUCUUGUACACACCGCCCGUCACACCACGAGAGUUUGUAACACCCGAAGCCGGUGGAGUAACCUUUUAGGAACUAGCCGUCGAAGGUGGG
Molecule: ribosomal RNA, 545 nt
Filed under: Staphylococcus sp. NB123
Lineage: Bacteria; Bacillati; Bacillota; Bacilli; Caryophanales; Staphylococcaceae
Description: bacterial SSU rRNA
Rfam family: Bacterial small subunit ribosomal RNA
Source: RNAcentral